GCCCCCUUAGCUCAGCUGGAAGAGUAGUUGUCUUGUAAACAACAGGUCGUCGGUUCGAACCCGACAGGGGGCUCCA
RNAcentral lists this transfer RNA (76 nucleotides) under Streptomyces sp. NL15-2K. RNAcentral's name for it is "tRNA-Thr". It matches the Rfam family "tRNA". Rfam says of the family: Transfer RNA (tRNA) molecules are approximately 80 nucleotides in length. The record is from RNAcentral. Lineage: Bacteria; Bacillati; Actinomycetota; Actinomycetes; Kitasatosporales; Streptomycetaceae.